AGGAUAAACGCUGGCGGCGUGCCUAACACAUGCAAGUCGAACGCGCUUUUUUCGCAAGAGGAGAGCGAGUGGCGGACGGGUGAGUAACACAUGGGUACCUACCUUGGAGUGAGGGAUACCGGCGAGAAAUCGCCGACAAUACCGCAUACGCUUCUCUUCACCGGGAAGCAAAGUUGCGCAAGCGACGCUCUGAGAUGGGCCUGUGGCCGAUUAGCUAGUUGGUGGGGUAACGGCCUACCAAGGCGACGAUCCAUAGCUGUUCUGAGAGGAAGACCAGCCACACUGGGACUGAGACACGGCCCAGACUCCUACGGGAGGCAGCAGUGGGGAAUAUUGGACAAUGGGGGAAACCCUGAUCCAGCAAUACCAUGUGUGUGAAGAAGGCCUUAGGGUUGUAAAGCACUUUAGUCAAUGAGGAAGGUACGCAAGUACCUUGACGUUAGUUGAAGAAUAAGCACCGGCUAACUCUGUGCCAGCAGCCGC
RNAcentral lists this ribosomal RNA (483 nucleotides) under uncultured bacterium. RNAcentral's name for it is "SSU rRNA". It matches the Rfam family "Bacterial small subunit ribosomal RNA", at positions 26 to 518 of the family's 1533-position model. The record is from RNAcentral.